CGACCAAGCGUACACGGUGGAUGCCCUGGCAGUCAGAGGCGAUGAAGGACGUGCUAAUCUGCGAAAAGCGCCGGUAAGGUGAUAUGAACCGUUAUAACCGGCGAUGUCCGAAUGGGGAAACCCAGUGUGACUCGUCACACUAUCAUUAACUGAAUCCAUAGGUUAAUGAGGCGAACCGGGGGAACUGAAACAUCUAAGUACCCCGAGGAAAAGAAAUCAACCGAGAUUCCCCCA
This 234-nucleotide ribosomal RNA is filed under the name Salmonella enterica subsp. diarizonae. Its description in RNAcentral is "partial 23S ribosomal RNA". It matches the Rfam family "Bacterial large subunit ribosomal RNA", at positions 1 to 242 of the family's 2925-position model. Lineage: Bacteria; Pseudomonadati; Pseudomonadota; Gammaproteobacteria; Enterobacterales; Enterobacteriaceae. The record is from RNAcentral.